UACGUAGGGAGCAAGCGUUGUCCGGAAUCAUUGGGCGUAAAGCGCGCGUAGGCGGCGCGGUAAGUCCGCUCUGAAAGUCCAGGGCUUAACCCUGGAAAGCGGGUGGAUACUGCCGGGCUAGAGUCCGGAAGAGGCGAGUGGAAUUCCUGGUGUAGCGGUGGAAUGCGCAGAUAUCAGGAGGAACACCAAUAGCGAAGGCAGCUCGCUGGGACGGUAUUGACGCUAAGGCGCGAAAGCGUGGGGAGCAAACAGG
Molecule: ribosomal RNA, 253 nt
Filed under: uncultured bacterium
Lineage: Bacteria
Description: partial 16S ribosomal RNA
Rfam family: Bacterial small subunit ribosomal RNA
Source: RNAcentral